AUCCCAUUAUGCUGACACUUUCUCACUAUCUCCUUGAAUCUUUCUCAAGCCUCGAAAACUGUUUCAGUGUCCUUCUGGCAGAAGUUUUAAAUUUUCCUUCUGAAUUU
Molecule: small nucleolar RNA, 107 nt
Organism: Nicotiana attenuata
Lineage: Eukaryota; Viridiplantae; Streptophyta; Magnoliopsida; Solanales; Solanaceae
Rfam family: Plant small nucleolar RNA R71
About the family: R71 is a member of the C/D box family of snoRNAs containing the C (UGAUGA) and D (CUGA) box motifs. Multiple nearly identical copies of this snoRNA have been identified in Arabidopsis, and it is thought to function as a 2'-O-ribose methylation guide for 18S ribosomal RNA.
Source: Rfam